This 85-nucleotide transfer RNA is filed under the name Gammaproteobacteria bacterium. Its description in RNAcentral is "tRNA-Leu". It matches the Rfam family "tRNA". Rfam says of the family: Transfer RNA (tRNA) molecules are approximately 80 nucleotides in length. Their secondary structure includes four short double-helical elements and three loops (D, anti-codon, and T loops). Further hydrogen bonds mediate the characteristic L-shaped molecular structure. tRNAs have two regions of fundamental functional importance: the anti-codon, which is responsible for specific mRNA codon recognition, and the 3' end, to which the tRNAs corresponding amino acid is attached (by aminoacyl-tRNA synthetases). tRNAs cope with the degeneracy of the genetic code in two manners: having more than one tRNA (with a specific anti-codon) for a particular amino acid; and 'wobble' base-pairing, i.e. permitting non-standard base-pairing at the 3rd anti-codon position. Lineage: Bacteria; Pseudomonadati; Pseudomonadota; Gammaproteobacteria. The record is from RNAcentral.
GCCGAUGUGGUGGAAUUGGUAGACACGCUGUCUUGAGGGGGCAGUGGCUCUGGCCGUGCCGGUUCGAGUCCGGCCAUCGGCACCA